CGAGCUGACCGAGUAAUCGCUGACAUAGUCAGAGGAAAGUCCGGGCUCCACAGGAUGAAACGCCAGGUAACGCCUGGGAAUAGCAAUGCUAUUACGGAAAGUGCAACAGAAAAUAUACCGCCGAAAGGUAAGGGUGAAAAGGUGUGGUAAGAGCGCACCGAAUAUUCGGAAACGAAUAUUGCUUUGCAAACCCCGUUUGGAGCAAGACUAAAUAGGGAUUCUAUAAUGUGAUCCGCAUUGAAUCCGGGUAAGUUGCUAGAGAUUUAUGGCGACAUAAAUUCAAGAUGAAUGAUUACAUAAAACAGAACCCGGCUUACGGGUCAGCUCCCUCA
This 332-nucleotide RNase P RNA is filed under the name SAR86 cluster bacterium. RNAcentral describes it as "RNase P RNA component class A". It matches the Rfam family "Bacterial RNase P class A". From Rfam's summary of the family: Ribonuclease P (RNase P) is a ubiquitous endoribonuclease, found in archaea, bacteria and eukarya as well as chloroplasts and mitochondria. Its best characterised activity is the generation of mature 5'-ends of tRNAs by cleaving the 5'-leader elements of precursor-tRNAs. RNAcentral also lists the same sequence under 1 other name. The record is from RNAcentral. Lineage: Bacteria; Pseudomonadati; Pseudomonadota; Gammaproteobacteria.